RNAcentral lists this ribosomal RNA (253 nucleotides) under uncultured bacterium. RNAcentral's name for it is "partial 16S ribosomal RNA". It matches the Rfam family "Bacterial small subunit ribosomal RNA", at positions 524 to 776 of the family's 1533-position model. The record is from RNAcentral.
UACGGGGGGUGCGAGCGUUGUCCGGAAUCACUGGGCAUAAAGGGCGCGUAGGCGGCUUUUCAAGUCAGGGGUGAAAUCCGGCAGCUUAACUGUCGAAGUGCCUUUGAUACUGGGAAGCUCGAGGGAGGUAGGGGUGUGUGGAACUUCCGGUGGAGCGGUGAAAUGCGUUGAUAUCGGAAGGAACGCCGGUGGCGAAAGCGACGCACUGGACCUCUUCUGACGCUGAGGCGCGAAAGCCAGGGGAGCAAACGGG